CGAACGCGUUGGCCCAAUUGAUUGAUGGUGCUUGCACCUGAUUGAUUUUGGUCGCCAACGAGUGGCGGACGGGUGAGUAACACGUAGGUAACCUGCCCAGAAGCGGGGGACAACAUUUGGAAACAGAUGCUAAUACCGCAUAACAGCGUUGUUCGCAUGAACAACGCUUAAAAGAUGGCUUCUCGCUAUCACUUCUGGAUGGACCUGCGGUGCAUUAGCUUGUUGGUGGGGUAACGGCCUACCAAGGCGAUGAUGCAUAGCCGAGUUGAGAGACUGAUCGGCCACAAUGGGACUGAGACACGGCCCAUACUCCUACGGGAGGCAGCAGUAGGGAAUCUUCCACAAUGGGCGCAAGCCUGAUGGAGCAACACCGCGUGAGUGAAGAAGGGUUUCGGCUCGUAAAGCUCUGUUGUUAAAGAAGAACACGUAUGAGAGUAACUGUUCAUACGUUGACGGUAUUUAACCAGAAAGUCACGGCUAACUACGUGCCAGCAGCCGCGGUAAUACGUAGGUGGCAAGCGUUAUCCGGAUUUAUUGGGCGUAAAGAGAGUGCAGGCGGUUUUCUAAGUCUGAUGUGAAAGCCUUCGGCUUAACCGGAGAAGUGCAUCGGAAACUGGAUAACUUGAGUGCAGAAGAGGGUAGUGGAACUCCAUGUGUAGCGGUGGAAUGCGUAGAUAUAUGGAAGAACACCAGUGGCGAAGGCGGCUACCUGGUCUGCAACUGACGCUGAGACUCGAAAGCAUGGGUAGCGAACAGGAUUAGAUACCCUGGUAGUCCAUGCCGUAAACGAUGAGUGCUAGGUGUUGGAGGGUUUCCGCCCUUCAGUGCCGGAGCUAACGCAUUAAGCACUCCGCCUGGGGAGUACGACCGCAAGGUUGAAACUCAAAGGAAUUGACGGGGGCCCGCACAAGCGGUGGAGCAUGUGGUUUAAUUCGAAGCUACGCGAAGAACCUUACCAGGUCUUGACAUCUUGCGCCAACCCUAGAGAUAGGGCGUUUCCUUCGGGAACGCAAUGACAGGUGGUGCAUGGUCGUCGUCAGCUCGUGUCGUGAGAUGUUGGGUUAAGUCCCGCAACGAGCGCAACCCUUGUUACUAGUUGCCAGCAUUAAGUUGGGCACUCUAGUGAGACUGCCGGUGACAAACCGGAGGAAGGUGGGGACGACGUCAGAUCAUCAUGCCCCUUAUGACCUGGGCUACACACGUGCUACAAUGGACGGUACAACGAGUCGCGAACUCGCGAGGGCAAGCAAAUCUCUUAAAACCGUUCUCAGUUCGGACUGCAGGCUGCAACUCGCCUGCACGAAGUCGGAAUCGCUAGUAAUCGCGGAUCAGCAUGCCGCGGUGAAUACGUUCCCGGGCCUUGUACACACCGCCCGUCACACCAUGAGAGUUUGUAACACCCAAAGUCGGUGGGGUAACCUUUUAGGAGCC
This 1431-nucleotide ribosomal RNA is filed under the name Limosilactobacillus fermentum. RNAcentral describes it as "bacterial SSU rRNA". It matches the Rfam family "Bacterial small subunit ribosomal RNA". Lineage: Bacteria; Bacillati; Bacillota; Bacilli; Lactobacillales; Lactobacillaceae. The record is from RNAcentral.